Molecule: long non-coding RNA, 4943 nt
Organism: Callithrix jacchus (white-tufted-ear marmoset)
Lineage: Eukaryota; Metazoa; Chordata; Mammalia; Primates; Cebidae
Source: Ensembl
AUGUUGACCCCGCCAGAACCACUUGCAUACCUGGGCCACUUCGGGAGCUACUGCCCACACGGGGACCUGUGGCUGGCAGCCAAAUGCCUGGGGAGCCUUUUUAACCUUGCUGCCUGGGACUGUGGAAUGCUGGGGAGGCCUGCCGGAGCUGUGCGCCAGGCUGCCACCCUCCAGGUGCCCGCAGGCUCUGCCGGUUGUAGCUCACCCCUCCCUGCUGUUUUCUCCAGCCUGAGGCUGCGCACGAGGUUCCGCCCCUGGGGCUGGGCUGUUCCCAGAGGUCAAGGAGCGAAAGGGGCGGGGCCCGUGCUCGCCUGCUCUGUCCCACAGGCUCCCUCAGGUUUUGGUCCCAGAUACUAUCUGAAGGAUAGAGAAGGAGACGGAAAGCAGAGAGAGAGCUUGAAGGGUCUCACUCUGUCAUCCAGGUUGGAGUGCAGUGGCAUCAUCAAAGCUCCCUGCAGCCUCAACCUCCUGAGCUCAAGCAAUUCUCUUUCCUCAGCCUCCCAGCAAGACUCAGGCGCAUACAGACGCAUUCCACAUGGCAGGAGGAAGCAUCUGCUUUCAGAAAAAAAUUUCCGUACUCCACAUUAAAGAAGCAUAUUAUCUACAUACAUAUGACGGAUUGCAAUUGCAAGGUAAUCAUGUUUCUUGAUGUUAAUUUGUACCUUUUAUAUGACACUGAUUGUGGUUUUGUGCUUUCCUUGAUUCCGUUGGACAAACCUCUUCUCACAAUUAAAAACAAUCCCAGAUAUUUAGACAUUGCAGAUACAUAAUAUGCGGUGCUGUGUCUAUAAAAGUCAUCAAAGGGGAUCAUUAACAGAUUCUAAAAUGAUUACUCUGCUGAAGUGAGCAAUCAGUUAAAAAUGAAUAAUAUGAAACUGUUAUCCUAAAUCUAUAAAAUGAUUAUCACCCAGAGCCUGCAGAAUACAGAUGAUGAGAAAAGCCGACAAGGCCCAAAGCUGUGUUAUAAGAAUCACAACUUGCAAAGAAGCUGAUUCCAGGAUUAUUUUAGUCUAAACACUAUAUACUAAGAAUAAACAGAAUGAAUUUGAAGGUAUCCAUAAGGCAGAUUUAUCAGUCACCAUGUAUUAAUCUGUGUAUUAAUCAUUUUAAGCUUCAUUUUACAGAUGAUUUUGAAAGUAAGUGUUCAAUCAUAAAAAUAAAUCAUGUGCAUAUUGCCUUACAGAUUACAAAGCACUGAAAUUAAUGUAUCUCAUUUAGUCCUUAAAAAAGAAAUCUGUCAAAUGGGAAUUAUUAUCUAUCAUAUCUUUGGGGUAAGAAACUAAAACUAAUCUUGACCAAAAGACUUACCUAAGAUGUUUCAGGUAAGAAUUGGAAGAGUUAGAAUACAACUCAAGUUUAUCUAAGCACAUUCAUUAGUUCAGCUGAGCAAAUAGGAAUUCCUACUACAGGCAAGGUACAAUACUAUGCCCAGGUAAUAGCAUAACUACAGAAAUGAUAAUGUCUAUUCUCCAGAAGGAACUAUGUCUCAGCAAGCAAUUAAUUAAGCAUUUAUUUAAAUAAAAUCUUGAUAAAUAUUACAAAAGACCAGGGAAGGAAGCCAGUUUUAUAGGAAAGGAACCAGCUUAAUUUGUUAGGGUUAAAAAAUAUACCUCCUUGAGAAAGGAAGCUAAGCUGAAAUUUUUAUGACAAGUUAUUUAGCAGAAAGAUAGGUACCUGUUGAGGCAAAGUACACAGGCUCUAAGAAGAUCCUGAAGCUGUCAUAAAUGUACAAAUGUAGAAUAAAGAUAGCCUGUGUCUUAGGGACAAAGAGAAGCAGCAUGUGGUUGGUGCCAGCUGAGGCAGGUGACGUGAGCACAGCCAGAUAGUGUUGGUGUCUAUUCCUAAGAGCAGUGGACGGCCAUUGAAAGGUUUUACUCAUGGAGGCAAUAUAGCAAUAAGGUCAGAUUUCAGUGCAAAGCAGAAAAUGCACUGAAGCAGAAUAAUUGGGGAGAAGCCCAAUUUAAAAAUGAGCAAAAUAUGUAAACAGGCACCAAAGAUGAUAUACAGAUGGCAAAUGAGCAUAUGAAAAAGUUCAACAUCAUAUGACACUACAAAAUUGAAAAUUAAAGUACAAUGAGAUGCACCUAAACAAUCUAUUAGAAUCACCAAGAUCCAGUUUUUUGCUUUUUUUUUUUUUUUUUCUGAGACAGGGUCAUAUUCUGCUGCUCAGGCUGGAGUACAGUGGUGGAAUCAUGGCUUACUGCAGCCUUGACCUCCCAGGCUGAAGUGAUCCUCUCACUUCAGCCUCCAAGUAGGUGGGACCACAGGCAUGCUCCAUCACACUGGCGAAUACUUUCAUUUUAUUUUUUUAAAGAUGGGAAGAUGGGAUUUCCCUCUAUUGCCCAGGCUGGUCUCAAGCUCCUGUCCUCAAGCAAUCCUCUGACCUCAGCCUCCUAAAGAGCUGGGAUUUUAAGUAUGAGCCACUGUGCCUGGCUAAACAUACUCUUACCAUGUCGCCUAGCAAUAUUGCUCCUAGAUGUUUACCCAAAUGAAUUGAAAACACAUGUCACACAAACACUUGCACACAGAUGUUUUUAGUGAUUUUAUCAUAAUUUCAAAAAAAGCAAGCAACAAAAAUAUCCUUCAACAAAUAAAUGGAUAUAUCAACUGUGGUAUAUCAGACCAUGGAAUGUUAUUAAGCACUAAUAAGACAUGAGUUAUCAAAUCAUGAAAACAUAUGGAAGACUCUUAAAUGUAUAUUACUAAGUAAAAGAAGCCAUUCUGCCCAGCACUUUGGGAGGCCGAGGCGGGUGAUCACGAGGUCAACAGAUUGAGAUCAUCCUGGUUAACAUGGUGAAACCCCGUCUCUACUAAAGAUACAAAAAAUUACCUGGGCAUGGUGGUGCGUGCCUGUAAUCCCAGCUACUCAGGAGGCUGAGACAGGAGAAUUGCCUGAACCCAGGAGGCGGAGGUUGCGGUGAGCCGAGAUCUCGCCAUUGCACUCCAGCCUGGGUAACAAAAGAGAAACUCCAUCUCAAAAAAAAAAAGAAGCCAUUCUGAAAAUACUACAUACUGGCAGUCCCACUAAAUGACAUUCUGGAAAAGGCAAACCAUGGAGACAAUAAAAGUGGAGAGAGUGGGAACAUUUAGAAGGCUGGGAUGGCAGCAUAGUAAGAAACAAUAGAGCCCUGAACUAAUUUGCCCAUCUAGGGGAAGAAAUUAUCUAAACAUAUUCCUCAAAACCUCACCAUAAAGCAUUUGAAAAACCAGCUCUUUAAGUUGAGAAACAAUUUUGAUUAAGUCACUGCCUUAUCACCUUUCCUCUUUUCUGCUUUUAAAAAAAUCCCUAAAUUUUUAACGUGAAUACUUUGUGCAACCUAUCUCUUGCCACUUCUCCAUCUUACCUCCUCCAUCUUGACCCAUAGAUAUUCUCAUUCAGCAGCAUUUCUCACUGUUCCCCAAACAUCCCCACACAAUGGUGGUUCAGUACAUUUUCAUACACCAUUGCUUCUGGCUAGGAUGCCUCCUUUAUCUGGAAAUCUCCUCCAAGAUAAAUCAGUUCAAAUACCACCUUUUCAUAAAAAAACUCAAAGACUUUUUCCAUCAAAUGUACUUUUCUUUUCUUAGAACUUCCAUGAUUUUACAGGUAUUAUUGUACUCAUCCCACUGAAUUAUAACAAGGUUGCUCUCAUAUCUUUUCUAAUCUACUAAUUUUCGACUCCCUAAAGUCAAAGUCAUUCCUUACUCAACUUUCUAUACUCAGUUUCUAUUCCAAUGGCUGUUAUGACUUCAAUAAAUGUUUGUUGAUUUAUUGUUCAGCCAAUGCAUGGAACAAAUUGCUUAGAAAUAAACAACUGAGCUAGGUGUUAUAUGGAUCUGGUUUUUAAAAUGGGAUUUUCUAUACUGUAUUCCAUACAUUCAAGAUGUGACUUAAAAAUACGCUUUCUAAGGAAACAUGGUGAUUGCCAUAAAGUAUAAUGGUGGAAAGGGGCUCAUAUUGGCCCUCUUUUAAAACAAUAUUUUUGUAGUGCUGCAAUACAAUUUAGGACCUGUAUAAAUGAUGCCAUGCAUUAGCAUGUGUUUUUACUCUUGUGGAGCAGGAGCUGAUAAACUGUAGUCCAUGAGCCAAAUCUGGCUCACUGCUUGUUUUUACAAAUAACAUUUUACUGAAGCACAGCCACACUCAUUCUUUUACAUACUGUCUGUAGCUGCUCCUGUGCUACAAUAGCCAACUUGAGUUGCUGUGGCAGAAACAAUCCAGCCUAUACAGCUGAAAUAUUUACUAUCUAAAACUUUACAGAAAUAGUUUACUGCUCAAAGUUUCUAAGAUGAAUGGUUUCUAAGAUGAAUUUACCCAGGUUUCAAUUCUGCUUCAUUACUUAGUAGACAGGUGAGUUGGAGCAAAUUAUUUGACCUUUCUACUUCUCAAUUACUUAUUUAAAAAUGAAAUAAUAAGAAAAUUUAAGUCAUGAAGUUAUCUUAAAAAAUAAAUGAUAAGCUGGGUGUGGUGGCUUACGCCUGUAAUGCCAGCACUUUGGGAGGCCAAGGUGGGUAAAUUUCUUGAGCCCAGGAGUGUGAGUCCAGCCUGGGCAACAUAGCAAAACCCUGUCUCUACAAAUAAUAUGAAAACAAUUAGCCAGCCACAGUGGUGUGCACCUGUGAUCCCAGCUACCCAGUAGGAUAAGGUGGGAAGAUUGAUUGAGCCCAGGAGGUUGAGGCUGCAGUGAGCUGUGUUUGUGCCACUGUACUCUAGCCUGUGUGACGAGAAAGGCUUUGUCCCAAAAAUAAAUAAAUAAAUAGAUAGAUAAAUAAAUAAAACUUACAAUGUAAAAUUUUUAAAAAUGUAGUUUUAAAAACAUUUACAAUAAAUAAAAUAAAAAUUUAAAAUAUGUGAUAAAAUGUUUGAAAAAAUACAAUAUAGAAGUGGUCAAAAAAUGUUACCCACUAACAUAGGUGGCAUUAUUUUAGUAUUUUAUUUUUUAGGACUUAAUUAAGAAAUUUAC